RNAcentral lists this ribosomal RNA (274 nucleotides) under uncultured bacterium. RNAcentral describes it as "partial 16S ribosomal RNA". It matches the Rfam family "Bacterial small subunit ribosomal RNA", at positions 523 to 796 of the family's 1533-position model. The record is from RNAcentral.
AUACGGAGGGUGCAAGCGUUAUGCGGAUUCAUUGGGUUUAAAGGGUGCGCAGGCGGACUUGUAAGUCAGUGGUGAAAUCCCGGGGCUCAACCUCGGAACUGCCAUUGAUACUGCAAGUCUUGAGUUUGGUUGAAGUGGGCGGAAUGUAGCAUGUAGCGGUGAAAUGCAUAGAUAUGCUACAGAACACCGAUCGCGAAGGCAGCUCACUAAACCAACACUGACGCUCAGGCACGAAAGCGUGGGGAGCGAACAGGAUUAGAAACCCUAGUAGUCC